RNAcentral lists this ribosomal RNA (253 nucleotides) under uncultured bacterium. RNAcentral describes it as "partial 16S ribosomal RNA". It matches the Rfam family "Bacterial small subunit ribosomal RNA", at positions 524 to 776 of the family's 1533-position model. The record is from RNAcentral.
UACGGAGGGGGCAAGCGUUAUUCGGAAUUAUUGGGCGUAAAGGGCGCGUAGGCGGCCUGCUAAGUCGAACGUGAAAUCCCUGGGCUCAACCCAGGAACUGCGUCCGAUACUGGUUGGCUUGAAUCCGGGAGAGGGAUGUGGAAUUCCAGGUGUAGCGGUGAAAUGCGUAGAUAUCUGGAGGAACACCGGUGGCGAAGGCGACAUCCUGGACCGGCAUUGACGCUGAGGCGCGAAAGCCAGGGGAGCAAACGGG